UAAUAAGUGUUUUAUGGCACUUUUUAAAUCCAUAUCCACCUUGUGUGCAAUGUCAGUCGAUCUUCUUCAUGGAGAUCGACCAAACAUCAACCUUUAUCUCUUAACAUCUUUGUCUGAAAAAUAUUAUGAAUAAACAAUUCAAAAUA
This 146-nucleotide unclassified non-coding RNA is filed under the name soil metagenome. RNAcentral's name for it is "partial internal transcribed spacer 1". The record is from RNAcentral.